This 497-nucleotide ribosomal RNA is filed under the name uncultured bacterium. RNAcentral's name for it is "partial 16S ribosomal RNA". It matches the Rfam family "Bacterial small subunit ribosomal RNA", at positions 28 to 507 of the family's 1533-position model. The record is from RNAcentral.
GAUGAACGCUGGCGGCGUGCCUAAUACAUGCAAGUCGAGCGAACGGACGAGAAGCUUGCUUCUCUGAUGUUAGCGGCGGACGGGUGAGUAACACGUGGAUAACCUACCUAUAAGACUGGGAUAACUUCGGGAAACCGGAGCUAAUACCGGAUAAUAUUUUGAACCGCAUGGUUCAAAAGUGAAAGACGGUCUUGCUGUCACUUAUGGAUGGAUCCGCGCUGCAUUAGCUAGUUGGUAAGGUAACGGCUUACCAAGGCAACGAUGCAUAGCCGACCUGAGAGGAUGAUCGGCCACACUGGAACUGAGACACGGUCCAGACUCCUACGGGAGGCAGCAGUAGGGAAUCUUCCGCAAUGGGCGAAAGCCUGACGGAGCAACGCCGCGUGAGUGAUGAAGGUCUUCGGAUCGUAAAACUCUGUUAUUAGGGAAGAACAUAUGUGUAAGUAACUGUGCACAUCUUGACGGUACCUAAUCAGAAAGCCACGGCUAACUACGUG